CGACAAGGAACCAUUUUUGUUGUGGGCAAAGCGUUCCUUCCCCUUGUUAAACGGUUCAAGUGCUUAGAUUGGCUUCCUGUUAGGGGAUUUGUAGACAUCGCGCGCGUUUGCAAGGCCACUGUCCCUCAACACCACCGCCAACUCACUGCAUGUGAGAGUCAGGGAUAUGCGAAGGAUGAAGAAAACAGAGAGCAAAAGGAGAAGCCAUGAGACACAGAGGAAGGUACAAUCCUGCUCAGUCUCCUGGCUAAAUCUUUCCCAUGGCUGUGACACUGUCUAGGAGGGAUAAACAUGACAAGAGGUAUGAAAGAAGACCCCAGAA
Peromyscus eremicus (cactus mouse) is the source of this 322-nucleotide long non-coding RNA. RefSeq lists it as uncharacterized. The transcript has 3 exons. The record is from RefSeq and is a predicted model, not a curated record. NCBI's taxonomy places the organism in Eukaryota, Metazoa, Chordata, Mammalia, Rodentia, Cricetidae.